GCGCGGGGCGGUGCCGCGCGGCGGAGGGAGCCGCGAUGGAGGGCGCUCCGACUGUCCGCCAGGUGAUGAAUGAAGGGGAUUCAAGCCUUGCCACCGAGUUACAGGAAGAUGUAGAGGAAAAUCCUAGUCCAACUGUGGAAGAGAAUAAUGUGGUAGUUAAAAAACAGGGGCCAAAUUUACAUAAUUGGAGUGGUGACUGGAGCUUUUGGAUUUCAAGUUCCACCUAUAAAGACAGGAAUGAGGAAUACAGAAGACAGUUCACACAUCUGCCUGAUACAGAGAGGCUGAUAGCAGAUUAUGCUUGUGCUCUUCAGAGGGACAUUUUGCUUCAGGGACGACUAUACCUUUCAGAAAACUGGCUAUGUUUCUAUAGCAACAUCUUCAGAUGGGAAACUACAAUUUCUAUUGCUUUAAAGAAUAUAACCUUCAUGACCAAGGAGAAAACUGCUCGACUCAUCCCAAAUGCUAUCCAGAUAGUUACAGAAAGUGAAAAGGGAUAGAAGUUACCUCAGUAUCUUUAGGUUGUGGCAGAAUGUAUUAUUAGAUAAGAGCCUGACUAGACAG
Molecule: small RNA, 564 nt
Filed under: Pongo abelii (Sumatran orangutan)
Lineage: Eukaryota; Metazoa; Chordata; Mammalia; Primates; Hominidae
Description: processed transcript
Source: RNAcentral